CAGGAUGAACGCUGGCGGCGUGCCUAACACAUGCAAGUCGAACGGGGUUAAGUGAAAUUUCGGAUGGAGCUUAACUUAGUGGCGGACGGGUGAGUAACGCGUGGAUAACCUGCCUCACACUGGGGGGAUAGCAGCUGGAAACGGCUGGUAAUACCGCAUAAGACCACAGCACCGCAUGGUGCAGGGGUAAAAGAUUUAUCGGUGUGAGAUGGAUCCGCGUCUGAUUAGCCAGUUGGCGGGUAACGGCCCACCAAAGCGACGAUCAGUAGCCGGCCUGAGAGGGUGAACGGCCACAUUGGGACUGAGACACGGCCCAAACUCCUACGGGAGGCAGCAGUGGGAAUAUUGCACAAUGGGCGCAAGCCUGAUGCAGCAACGCCCGCGUGAGUGAAGAAGUAUUUCGGUAUGUAAAGCUCUAUCGGCAGGGAAGAAAGGCCCUUAACAGGGAGAUGACGGUACCUGACUAAGAAGCCCCGGCUAACUACGUGCCAGCCGCCGC
Molecule: ribosomal RNA, 499 nt
Filed under: uncultured bacterium
Lineage: Bacteria
Description: bacterial SSU rRNA
Rfam family: Bacterial small subunit ribosomal RNA
Source: RNAcentral